GGCGGACGGGUGAGUAACGCGUAAGGAACUUGCCUCUUGGUCUGGGACAACUGUUGGAAACGACAGCUAAUACCGGAUAUUAUGAGAUUCUCGCAUGGGAAACUUAUGAAAGCUAUAUGCGCCAAGAGAGAGCCUUGCGUUCCAUUAGCUAGUUGGUGGGGUAACGGCCCACCAAGGCGACGAUGGAUAGCCGGCCUGAGAGGGUGAACGGCCACAAGGGGACUGAGACACGGCCCUUACUCCUACGGGAGGCAGCAGUGGGGAAUAUUGGACAAUGGGCCACAAGCCUGAUCCAGCAAUUCUGUGUGCACGAUGAAGGUCUUCGGAUUGUAAAGUGCUUUCAGUUGGGAAGAAGAAAGUGACGGUACCAACAGAAGAAGCGACGGCUAAAUACGUGCCAGCAGCCGCGGUAAUACGUAUGUCGCAAGCGUUAUCCGGAUUUAUUGGGCGUAAAGCGCGUCUAGGCGGAAAAAUAAGUCUGAUGUUAAAAUGCGGGGCUCAACUCCGUAUUGCGUUGGAAACUGUUUUUCUAGAGUACUGGAGAGGUGGGCGGAACUACAAGUGUAGAGGUGAAAUUCGUAGAUAUUUGUAGGAAUGCCGAUGGAGAAGUCAGCUCACU
This 619-nucleotide ribosomal RNA is filed under the name uncultured bacterium. Its description in RNAcentral is "bacterial SSU rRNA". It matches the Rfam family "Bacterial small subunit ribosomal RNA", at positions 97 to 730 of the family's 1533-position model. The record is from RNAcentral.